ACACUCACUUCAGCAAUAUACAAACUAAAAUUGGAAUGCUACAGAGAUUAAGAUGGCCCCUAUGCAAGGACAGCACAAAAGUAUAAGUAUUCCACAUUUUU
RNAcentral lists this small nuclear RNA (101 nucleotides) under Nannospalax galili (Upper Galilee mountains blind mole rat). The record is from RNAcentral. Lineage: Eukaryota; Metazoa; Chordata; Mammalia; Rodentia; Spalacidae.